UCGCCUGUUUAUCAAAAACAUGGUUUCUUGGUAGGUAUAGGAGAUUUAACCUGCCCACUGGUUAUAGAUUAAAGGGCUGCAGUAUAUUAACUGUACAAAGGUAGCAUAAUCAUUAGUUUUUUAAUUGAAGGCUGGAAUGAAUGGUUGGACGAGGUGAAAUCUGUUUUGUAUUAAUAAGUUGAAUUUAUAGCUUAAGUAAAAAGGCUUAAAUAAUAUUAAGGGACAAGAAGACCCUAUAGAAUUUAAUAAGUAAUAAUUUAAUUUAGUUAGUUAAUAGUUUUUAGUUAUUAUAAAAUCUUAUUUAAUUGGGGAGAUUUAAAGAUAAUAAGAACUCUUUAUUAAUUUGAAUAUGAAUUAGUAAUAUUUUGAUCCAAAAUUAGUGAUAAUAAGAUUAAAUUACCUUAGGGAUAACAGUAUAAUUACUUUUGAGAGUUCUUAUCAAAAAAGGGGAUUAUAACCUCGAUGUUGGAUUAAGAGAUAUUUUAGGUGAAGGUGCUUAAUGAAUUAAGUCUGUUCGACUUUUAAAAUCUUACAUGAUCUGAGUUCAAACCGGAGA
This 556-nucleotide ribosomal RNA is filed under the name Cardioptera squalodon. Its description in RNAcentral is "partial 16S ribosomal RNA". It matches the Rfam family "Bacterial large subunit ribosomal RNA", at positions 1796 to 2622 of the family's 2925-position model. The record is from RNAcentral. Lineage: Eukaryota; Metazoa; Arthropoda; Insecta; Mantodea; Mantidae.